UGGACGAAUUACAACUAGAGGACUACUCAAUAUAUCGUCUCUGAGAACUACGAAUACUGGCGCCAAAAGUAGACUGGUGUAGCACCAGAGGAUAAAAAUUUGAGCACGUGGGCUUGUGAUAAUAAAUAUUUAAUAUUUAAAAAGAGAGGGGGAAGAGGCAAAAUGACCUACAAUAAAAAUAAGUGACAGACCCUCUAAGAUUUAAAUAACUAAUUAUAAAAAUACAUCAGACUGAUGAUACGUAAUUUUGGAUUAAUUUGGUCCUUCAGAGAGUGGAAUAUAAUACAGAAAAAAAUAAUUAUUUACAAGCAAGUGGAAAAAAUAAUAAAGUGUCUGAUAUGAGAACGUACUUGCUGCACAAUAAAUAUUUAGUAGUUUCGGAAUUCACCGCUAGGAUACUUAUAAGCGCACAGAUUGUUCCUCCACAGACACAUAUGAUCCACCUUUUAUCUUCCAAUCGAAUGCAAGUUCCUGGCGACCAACUAAUGAGAUUUUUUAAAUUUCUUACUCAGAAGAUUACUAAUAAAUAACAUGAAUAUGCUAUCAUAAAUAAGUAUAAGAUAAGAUAUAAUAAACUUGAAGUGUAAAAUUUUCAAUAGAAAAUGGGAACCUAAUGACUACUACAUGAAUGUACAACUCUUUGUAAUGUUACUUUAAAAGACAUAAAUAAAAAGAAUUUCAAAAGCAAAAACAGCAAUUAAAGGUCAUGAGGCACUCUGCUUGGGUGGUAUAGAACCGUAUGGUUCGUAAGUAAUAAUUACUCAAUUUCUUUCUUGUCUGUCAUCUAAUUUACCAUUUGUGUUUAUUGGGUUUUUCUGUUAAAUAAAGAAAAUUUGUUCUUCAAUUUUGUGCAUAGAGCAAAUUCAUUCAAAGUUUCCUUACAAUGACUACUAUAGAUAUGAAAGAUAAUUUUCUAUGAUAAUGACUAUCACGGCAAUCUAUAAUAUAUCCGAUGAUUAUUUGAUC
This is a long non-coding RNA of Microplitis mediator, 966 nucleotides long. RefSeq lists it as uncharacterized. The transcript has 3 exons. The record is from RefSeq and is a predicted model, not a curated record. Lineage: Eukaryota; Metazoa; Arthropoda; Insecta; Hymenoptera; Braconidae.